RNAcentral lists this transfer RNA (65 nucleotides) under Asterionellopsis glacialis. The record is from RNAcentral. Lineage: Eukaryota; Bacillariophyta; Plagiogrammaphyceae; Rhaphoneidales; Asterionellopsidaceae.
ACCCCCGAAAUCCGUAAAGAUUUCAGGGGCUUAUUUGGGCCCCGCGGAAGCGAGGUUAUUGGCUU